AGAGUUUGAUCCUGGCUCAGGACGAACGCUGGCGGCGCGCCUAACACAUGCAAGUCGAACGAGCGAGAGAGAGUUUACUUUUUCGAGCGAGUGGCGAACGGGUGAGUAACGCGUGAGGAACCUGCCUCAAAGAGGGGGACAACAGUUGGAAACGACUGCUAAUACCGCAUAAGCCCACGACCCGGCAUCGGGUAGAGGGAAAAGGAGCAAUCCGCUUUGAGAUGGCCUCGCGUCCGAUUAGCUAGUUGGUGAGGUAAUGGCCCACCAAGGCGACGAUCGGUAGCCGGACUGAGAGGUUGAACGGCCACAUUGGGACUGAGACACGGCCCAGACUCCUACGGGAGGCAGCAGUGGGGAAUAUUGCACAAUGGGGGAAACCCUGAUGCAGCGACGCCGCGUGGAGGAAGAAGGUCUUCGGAUUGUAAACUCCUGUUGUUGAGGAAGAUAAUGACGGUACUCAACAAGGAAGUGACGGCUAACUACGUGCCAGCAGCCGCGGU
This 500-nucleotide ribosomal RNA is filed under the name uncultured Fusobacterium sp. RNAcentral describes it as "bacterial SSU rRNA". It matches the Rfam family "Bacterial small subunit ribosomal RNA", at positions 8 to 521 of the family's 1533-position model. Lineage: Bacteria; Fusobacteriati; Fusobacteriota; Fusobacteriia; Fusobacteriales; Fusobacteriaceae. The record is from RNAcentral.